AUUGAACGCUGGCGGCAUGCCUUACACAUGCAAGUCGAACGGCAGCACGGGGGCAACCCUGGUGGCGAGUGGCGAACGGGUGAGUAAUGCAUCGGAACGUGCCCCGUAGCGGGGGAUAACCAGUCGAAAGACUGGCUAAUACCGCAUACGCUCCACGGAGGAAAGCAGGGGAUCGCAAGACCUUGCACUAUGGGAGCGGCCGAUGCCCGAUUAGCUAGUUGGUGAGGUAAAGGCUCACCAAGGCGACGAUCGGUAGCUGGUUUGAGAGAACGACCAGCCACACUGGGACUGAGACACGGCCCAGACUCCUACGGGAGGCAGCAGUGGGGAAUUUUGGACAAUGGGCGCAAGCCUGAUCCAGCCAUGCCGCGUGGAGGAUGAAGGUCUUCGGAUUGUAAACUCCUGUUGCCCGGGACGAAUGGCUCCGACCUAACACGUCGGAGUGUGACGGUACCGGGUGAGG
RNAcentral lists this ribosomal RNA (463 nucleotides) under uncultured bacterium. RNAcentral's name for it is "bacterial SSU rRNA". It matches the Rfam family "Bacterial small subunit ribosomal RNA", at positions 29 to 487 of the family's 1533-position model. The record is from RNAcentral.